UACGGGGGGGGCAAGCGUUGUUCGGAAUUACUGGGCGUAAAGGGCUCGUAGGCGGCCAACUAAGUCGGAUGUGAAAUCCCCAGGCUUAACCUGGGAACUGCGUCGGAUACUGGAUGGCUUGAAUCCGGGAGAGGGAUGCGGAAUUCCAGGUGUAGCGGUGAAAUGCGUAGAUAUCUGGAGGAACACCGGUGGCGAAGGCGGCAUCCUGGACCGGCAUUGACGCUGAGGAGCGAAAGCCAGGGGAGCAAACGGG
Molecule: ribosomal RNA, 253 nt
Filed under: uncultured bacterium
Lineage: Bacteria
Description: partial 16S ribosomal RNA
Rfam family: Bacterial small subunit ribosomal RNA
Source: RNAcentral